Molecule: long non-coding RNA, 631 nt
Filed under: Corvus moneduloides (New Caledonian crow)
Lineage: Eukaryota; Metazoa; Chordata; Aves; Passeriformes; Corvidae
Description: lncRNA (ENSCMUG00000011897.2)
Source: RNAcentral
AUGCUGAGUGUGCUGGCUCUUUUCUCUCAUUUAUCCCAGGGAAGCUUGUUUAAAUGUCCCUUGCAUACUGUAAUUGAAUCCGCUGUGGGAACUCAAGCUUGUACCAUCUUUCUCUGGGCCUCUGGAACUUCCUGGGGGUGAAAAAUCUUCAUUUAAUGAUGAAUUCUGCAGCCUGAAGCCUCGUGUGAGAGACUACCCAAGGAGUAAGACAGGAAAUGUGCCACUAUGUUCCGUUUUAAUUCAAGAGCCAACCUUCUGCAGAAGGAAAUGGUGGCAAGUUCAGUGGGAAACGACAGAGCUCUCAGUCCCAGAGUUUCAAAGAUCACAAACUCCCUCUAAGGACUUGAGAAACAAAGAAAACCCUGUGACAGAGAAUAUUCUUCCUCAUUCAUCAUUUGAAAUCCUGCCUCUAAAAGUGUUAAGAACAAGUUAUUUUCAAUAUGAGUUAGCCCCAGGGGAUUUGAUAAAAGGCACUUUUCUUUUCCAGCUGGCUAAUCAAAAAAGUGGGCUGCAGAAGACUUUAGUGACUUGGAAGGCAGUUCUGAGACUCCCCCAGACUCAGCAAACUUUCCUGAUCCAAGGAACCAAAAAACAAAGAUGUGUCACAGGCCUGACUGAAUAUGGGAGCUGA